AUACUUACCUGGCAGGGGAGAUACCAUGAUCACGAAGGUGGUUUUCCCAGGGCGAGGCUUAUCCAUUGCACUCCAUAUGUGCUGACCCCUGCGAUUUCCCCAAAUGUGGGAAACUCGACUGCAUAAUUUGUGGUAGUGGGGGACUGCGUUCGCGCUCUCCCCUG
This 164-nucleotide small nuclear RNA is filed under the name Rhinolophus ferrumequinum (greater horseshoe bat). Its description in RNAcentral is "U1 spliceosomal RNA (ENSRFEG00010009461.1)". It matches the Rfam family "U1 spliceosomal RNA". Rfam says of the family: U1 is a small nuclear RNA (snRNA) component of the spliceosome (involved in pre-mRNA splicing). Its 5' end forms complementary base pairs with the 5' splice junction, thus defining the 5' donor site of an intron. The record is from Rfam by way of RNAcentral. Lineage: Eukaryota; Metazoa; Chordata; Mammalia; Chiroptera; Rhinolophidae.